AUUGAACGCUAGCGGGAUGCUUUACACAUGCACGUCGAACGAGUGGCGGACGGGUGAGUAAUAUUUCGGAACGUGCCCAGUAGCGGGGGAUAACUACUCGAAAGAGUGGCUAAUACCGCCUACUAUUGGAGCGGCCGAUAUGGGAUUAGCUAGUUGGUGGGGUAAAGGCUCACCAAGGCGACGAUCCGUAGCUGGUUUGAGAGGAGGACCAGCCACACUGGGACUGAGACACGGCCCAGACGCCUACGGGAGGCAGCAGUGGGGAAUAUUGGACAAUGGGGGAAACCCUGAUGCAGCCAUCCCGCGUGUAUGAGAAGGCCUUCGGGUUGUAAAGUACUUUUGGCAGAGAAGCGGUAUCUGCAGAAUAAGCACCGGCUAACUACGUGCCAGCAGCCGCGGUAAUUC
Molecule: ribosomal RNA, 405 nt
Filed under: uncultured bacterium
Lineage: Bacteria
Description: partial 16S ribosomal RNA
Rfam family: Bacterial small subunit ribosomal RNA
Source: RNAcentral